GGGGUGCCCGCGCGCAGGACGGGACGCCAGGGUUUGUGUGGGGGCAGCUCGGAGAGCCGGAACUGAAAGACCAGAAACCAGCCUGCCCUAGUCAAAGAAAGUUAGGGCCCAACCAGCCUCUCCCCAAGAAGCAGGGGGUAGGGAGGAGGUCCCAGGGAAGAACCUGGUUGCCAAAGUCUCGGCCAGUUGGAGAAGAGAUGGGUCUCCCGAGGAUACCCAAGCCCAAGCUCUACACUGUCCCAAGAGUCUCUGCCCUCAUUCCCCUUCACCAGGUUGCUCAACCCUCCAUCAGACUGUUAGGUCAAGGGUGGACAAACAGACCAACCGGGAUCUGGAUGGCCCCUGGGCAGUACUGACUUCCCCUACCAUUCCCAUGGCAAGAAAAGGGAGUGAUUCCACUAGCAGACUCCCCUACCCUGCAGUGAGACAGCCUGUAGGAAGGUGAGACUCAGACCCCAAGGUUUCUGCUUUUGCUUUGUUCCUUCGAGAUCUCCAUUCCCCCAUGGGAGAGAAACCUCUCUGUCCCACCUGCCCUCCCCUCCCAUCAGCUUUCAGAUUCUCCAGCUGCUCCUCUUCUGAGACUCACCCAGUCUCAUGCCUCCAUUAGCCUCAACUCCCGACCCAUGGCCUGUGGUGAGAGGUGCUAACAACAUGACCUGCUUUCAUCUUGACCUUCCCAGCCCACCCAGAGAAAAGGGAAUCUUGGCUAAAAAAAGGCUGGAAGAGGGGAGAACCCUGGCACUGCGGGUGGGGCUGGGAGGAGCCCAGGCAACCUUACUGGUGAGAAUCUCAUGGCUCUUCAAGCUGACUGCUAAGCUGGAUGCGUAGGGGAAAGCAGAGAAAAGGUGAUUUACUGGGACACAGAGACACAGGCUGGAAGAGAUAGCAUGUGUUUCCUUAAAAUUUGAAGCAUUUGGCUGGGCACAGUGGCUCACACCUGUAAUCCCUGCACUUUGGGAGGUAAAGGCAAGAGGAUUUCCUGGGCCCAAGAGUUAGAGGCUGCAGUGAGCUAUGAUUGUGCCAUUGUACUCCAGCCUGGGAGACAGAAACCCCCUCUCUUAAAAAAAUAAAAAAAUAAAAAAUGGAACCAUUGCUCUGAGUUUCUAAUAGGGGGAGU
Molecule: long non-coding RNA, 1117 nt
Filed under: Homo sapiens (human)
Lineage: Eukaryota; Metazoa; Chordata; Mammalia; Primates; Hominidae
Description: non-protein coding lnc-RXFP4-2:5
Source: RNAcentral